UAGAGGUACGCUGGGAAAAAAAUAUAUGUUUAAUUACACAUUUAAAAAAAAAGUAUGUUAAACACAAGCAUACUUUUACAGAAGUUUUAGUGUGUUUAGAAAAAAACAUAUAUUUUUUUAAACAUGUACAUUAAUUUUAAUAGGCUAACAUUGCAAUUUCAACAUCAUAUCAUUGAACUUGCAUUAUAUAUUGAUUUUACAAAGUUAAUCCACAUAAAUUUGUUAGUGUUUAUAUUCAAACAACACACGUGACGGACGUGACUAAACCUCAUUGGUUCUUGGGAUUCAGUACGUCACAUUGGCUUCCUGAUUCAGUUGUUCGAUACACAACGUGCGUGAUCGUUGGUAAAUGUGGAUUAAAAGUUGAAACUAAAACUGUUAAAUUAUAUAUAGUGAUAAUCAGAGGACUUGGCUGAAACAACGCGAUUCACAUGGAUUACUUCGGCGAUGUUUUUUAUUGCUGUUGCGAUUAACUUUUUGAAAUGUGAGCAGUUUUUAAGUAUCAAGUGGAUCUGACAUCGAGGGGAAAUAUACGUUUCUUGGAUUUCAUUAAAGUACAUCGGUUUUUGUUUGAAGAUGAAUGAGAGAACAUGAGGCACAGCGGCAUUCAAAUUGACCAAUCAGAGCCGAGAAUAUCUAAUAAGUCGAAGUAGAGAUGAACAGAUGAAGAUACAGCCCGUAAAAAUACUUAUUCUUGGUGGUAAGUUUUUAGUUCUACAGUAUUUGUAUAACAUUUAGAUAACUUUUACGUUUUUCUAAUGCUAAUGUUUAAAGAGUAACUAAACCCUAAACCAACUUUUUUAGUUAAUGAUCUGUAAGAAUGAUGCUUUAUUAGUGUAAGUUUUUUGACAUUUGGAUAUAAAGUGUUUCAAUACUACAAUAUAUGUUGUAAAAACGUCUGAGUGCUGCCCUCUUCAGGUUGAACGGUGGCUACUGGCAGGGCUCGAAAUUGCGAAUAUUCAGUGUUCUCUCCAACGUUACAUAACCAAUCAAAUUUCACCAUUAAGUUCUUACGUUUAAUGAAGACCGCAGAUUGGCUAAUAUGAGCGUCAGUCAUUCCUUGUUGCCCUGCUACGUUGGUACGUGAAGCGCGAAAAUAAGACGCACCGCGAGCAUGACGAGAACAAGCCGACUACAGCCAAUGUUACUACUGUAAUUAAUGACGACGAUCCGGAUUCAAAUGCGACUCCACCACCGGAAAAUAAGACUUGACGUUAAACCUUUCAGAGAGAGUGGCUUAAAGAUUUCGAGUGUCUCCCCUAUGAAAAUGGCUCGAUGUAACUUACUUUGCUUACUGUAAAUCCUGUAAAACGGCGUUGGUGGCGGAAUCAAAACAUUUUAAGUGCCAGACCUUGCUUAAACAUGGCGAAAGUGCUAAAAACACUAGUAGUGUCAUGACAAAUGUGUUCAUUAUUAAUGGAGACACCGACCUGUCUGUCAUAGAGUGUUUGAUAGUGUAUGUGCGCAUGCGCUGGUGAAUGGACAUCCAACAAACAUCCUUGUGGUCCAUGUUGAUGUGGAACACGACAAUGUUGAUGGUAUGUUUUUAUAAAAAAAUAUAUUUUUAAAAACAUAUUUAGUAGUAAUAGCAUCCUGGUAAUGCAGUUAUCAAUACCAAUAUUAGCCUUCUAUAUUAAGCCUUCUAUAUUAAGGUCACUUUUGUAAAUGUCCCAAUUAAUCAGUGUUUUACGUGUUUGCUAGAUUUUCUAUUGUAAUCUUAAUCAUUUUACCUGUAAUCUGUAAUUGGUAAAUUAUUAUUGCUAUACUAUUUCAAAAGCAGUUGGGUAUUAAUUUAGGAAUCUAUGCAGUAAAAAAAUUAAAUAAAAGACUGGCCAUAAAUGCUGGCCAUAGGAUAUGUAAAGCCUGGUGGUUGCAUUUUAUUGUAAUAAAAUAAAUCUAUAAACAUUUAUAUUGUAGUUGUGGUGCUUUUUAAUUUUUGGAUGGAUGCGCCUACAUUUUUGCUGGUGCUCCUAACUCUUUAAAGUUGUGAGCACCAGUGCUACCAAAAAAAAGUUAAUUUUGAGCCCUGUACUGCAGUUGAAUUUUCCUAUUGGAUGUUGGACCGGACACUUUUAGACAACAUUACAAAGACAAUAAUAUAUUACUAACGUGAUUAGCCUGCUGGACGAACUGUAAAAAACAGCACAAUCUAAGCACUGCUAGUACAGGCUAGCUGAAUAUAUCUUAAUGAUUACAGAGAUAACACAUAAAACUUGCAACCUUUCUCAGUUUGCACAUCUGGACAAUUCUUCACACAUCAUAGGUUGUAAAUUUGGGUAAAUCCAGCAAACAAGUAAUUUUAGCGAUUCUGCUGUCACUCUGCUUUAAAUCUCCCGCAUCAGAAACUUAAGAGCAGCCUUGAGUCAAUUGUGGAAGUUAAGCGUGCAUAGAGUCCAUUGGCAUGACUUCUGAUUUCCUUAAAUCUCCUUAAACAGAGGUGAACUUUUCUUGUAAGCAAGACCACAAUAGACAUGUCAAUGGAAAAUGCCCUUGGUUAAAAUAAAACACAAUUAUCAAAGUAAAGAAUAUCCUGUAAUACACACAGGUUGCAUUAUAUCAGUGUCAGUGAGUUAAGCCUCCUAUAACCCUUUGUUCAAUGUAACUUGUAGAGUGCCAUGUAGCGAUGGAUCAAACGGACACUCAUGUCAAGCUUGAUGAGGACACAGUCAAAGCUUUAAAAGACCUUGUGAUUAAGUCUUCAGUGUCUGAAUGGCAAGAAGAAGUGACCCUCCAUAUAAACGUGACAUUUAAACUGCUCUGUGUUUUGGUUCAGCCAUUUGUAGGUUUAUCUCGAGUAAGUUCAAAUGCACUUCUGCAUUUGUCCAGUAACUUUUUGUUUAGAGAAUUACAUCAUUAUGAUUAUAUAAUUAUUCAAUGGUUGCAUAUUCAUAGUGUACUUUUCAUAUUGAUGUAUUAAUGUUCCACAAUUUGAUAAAAGUAGCUCAUUGCAUUUCACUGAUCUUUGUUUUAUAUUGUAAAAUCAUUUCAAUAGCAGUAAAUACAUACUUAGUUGUUUCUUUAACAUUUAAUUAGUUGUUAAUGAUGGAAGAAACCGGUUCGUAUGUAUGAAUACAGAAUAGGUAUCAUUUUAGAAUGAGUUAAAACAUGUUUUGGUGGCAAACAUGCAGGUAAAAUAGUACAUGUAUAACAUUCUAAUAGUAAACUUGACUGUAAUUCAAAUGUCACAUACAGUACAUUAGAAAUGAUUUAUUUUAUGUAUACAAAUGUGUGGGCAAUAUAUUAUUAUUUCAUUUUGUAUGCUAUAUUAUUUAUGUAAUAUUAUUAUAUCUGAAAUUAUUAAAUUACAUUUAUAAAUGUUUAAAAGGUGGGUUCAAAUGUGCUUCAAGUUGUAACUGAAUACAAUUUUAGAAAAUAGCACAGUUGAGUACACUUAGAUUGUCUUAAGUUUGUCUUAACAAGUACUAAAUACUACUUUUUAGUAUAUUAAGCACAAUUUACUGCACGAAAAUAAAGAGCUUUUGGUAGCUUAAGGUUGUGAACUUAAAGUGUAUUUUAGUGAACUUUUUCACCUGGGAAUACAUUUGGUAUAUUAUUUUAACAUACUACUAGUAUAUUUUAAAGUAGAUUCGUAAAUGUUUAAAGGUGGGUUCAAGUUGUAAUUAAAGAUAUUUUUUAAAUACAGACCUAGUAUGUUAA
Paramisgurnus dabryanus is the source of this 3657-nucleotide non-coding RNA. The record is from RefSeq and is a predicted model, not a curated record. NCBI's taxonomy places the organism in Eukaryota, Metazoa, Chordata, Actinopteri, Cypriniformes, Cobitidae.